This 740-nucleotide ribosomal RNA is filed under the name uncultured bacterium. RNAcentral describes it as "bacterial SSU rRNA". It matches the Rfam family "Bacterial small subunit ribosomal RNA", at positions 56 to 799 of the family's 1533-position model. The record is from RNAcentral.
UGCAGUCGAGUGCGCGUCUGUAGCAAUACAGAUGGCGCACGGCGCACGGGUGCGUAACACGUGGGUAAUCUGCCCUUCGAUGGGGAAUAUCUUCGGGAAACCGAAGCGAAUUCCGCAUAACAUUCCUUGAACUUCGGUUUGGGGACUCAAAGCCGUAAGGCGUCGGAGGAGGAACCCGCGCACGAUUAGCUAGUUGGUAGGGUAACGGCCUACCAAGGCUUUGAUCGUUAGCUGGUCUGAGAGGAUGGCCAGCCACACUGGAACUGAGACACGGUCCAGACUCCUACGGGAGGCAGCAGUGGGGAAUCUUGCACAAUGGGCGAAAGCCUGAUGCAGCGACGCCGCGUUGGGGAUGAAGCUUUUCGGAGUGUAAACCCCUUUCGACCCGGACGAAUGCCCCGUAAGGGGACUGACGGUACGGGUAUAAGAAGCCCCGGCUAACUACGUGCCAGCAGCCGCGGUAAGACGUGGGGGGCCAGCGUUGCUCGGAAUUACUGGGUGUAAAGGGUUCGUAGGCGGUGUGGCAAGUCGGGAGUGAAAUCUCUGAGCUUAACCCAGAGUCUGCUUCCGAAACUGCUGUGCUUGAGUGUGGGAGAGGCGCGUGGAAUUGCAGGUGUAGCGGUGAAAUGCGUAGAUAUCUGCAGGAACACCCGUGGCGAAAGCGGCGCGCUGGACCACUACUGACGCUGAGGAACGAAAGCUAGGGGAGCAAACAGGAUUAGAUACCCUGGUAGUCCUAG